GACGAACGCUGGCGGCGUGCUUAACACAUGCAAGUCGAACGGAGUUUAAAUCAGUAGUUUACUACAGAUUUAAACUUAGUGGCGGACGGGUGAGUAACACGUGGGCAACCUGCCCUAAAGAGGGGGAUAACACCGAGAAAUCGGUGCUAAUACCGCAUGACAUUAGAGCUUCGCAUGGAGCUUUAAUCAAAGGAGCAAUCCGCUUUAGGAUGGGCCCGCGUCUGAUUAGCUAGUUGGUGAGGUAGAGGCUCACCAAGGCGACGAUCGGUAGCCGAUCUGAGAGGAUGACCGGCCACACUGGAACUGAGACACGGUCCAGACUCCUACGGGAGGCAGCAGUGGGGAAUAUUGCACAAUGGGGGAAACCCUGAUGCAGCAACGCCGCGUGGAGGAAGAAGGUUUUCGGAUUGUAAACUCCUGUCUUUUGGGACGAUAAUGACGGUACCAAAAGAGGAAGCCACGGCUAACUACGUGCCAGCAGCCGCGGUAAGAGUCACGUCG
RNAcentral lists this ribosomal RNA (501 nucleotides) under uncultured bacterium. Its description in RNAcentral is "bacterial SSU rRNA". It matches the Rfam family "Bacterial small subunit ribosomal RNA", at positions 28 to 534 of the family's 1533-position model. The record is from RNAcentral.